RNAcentral lists this ribosomal RNA (428 nucleotides) under uncultured bacterium. RNAcentral's name for it is "partial 16S ribosomal RNA". It matches the Rfam family "Bacterial small subunit ribosomal RNA", at positions 30 to 504 of the family's 1533-position model. The record is from RNAcentral.
AACGAACGCUGGCGGCAGGCUUAACACAUGCGAGUCGAACGCCCCGCAAGGGGAGUGGCAGACGGGUGAGUAACGCGUGGGAACAUACCCUUUUCUACGGAAUAGCUCUGGGAAACUGGAAUUAAUACCGUAUACGCCCUACGGGGGAAAGAUUUAUCGGGGAAGGAUUGGCCCGCGUUGGAUUAGCUAGUUGGUGGGGUAAAGGCCUACCAAGGCGACGAUCCAUAGCUGGUCUGAGAGGAUGAUCAGCCACAUUGGGACUGAGACACGGCCCAAACUCAGACGGGAGGAAGCAGGGGGGAAUAGUGGAGAAGGGGUGCAAGCCUGAUACAGCCAUGACGCGUGAGUAAUGAAGGGGUUAGGGGAGAAAAGCUCUUUCACAGAUGAAGAUAAUGACGGUAGUAGGAGAAAAAGCCAAGGCUAACUUC